GACGAACGCUGGCGGCGUGCCUAAUACAUGCAAGUAGAACGCACAGUUUAUACCGUAGCUUGCUACACCAUAGACUGUGAGUUGCGAACGGGUGAGUAACGCGUAGGUAACCUGCCUGGUAGCGGGGGAUAACUAUUGGAAACGAUAGCUAAUACCGCAUAAUAUUGAUUAUUGCAUGAUAAUUGAUUGAAAGAUGCUAUUGCAUCACUACCAGAUGGACCUGCGUUGUAUUAGCUAGUAGGUGAGGUAACGGCUCACCUAGGCGACGAUACAUAGCCGACCUGAGAGGGUGAGCGGCCACACUGGGACUGAGACACGGCCCAGACUCCUACGGGAGGCAGCAGUAGGGAAUCUUCGGCAAUGGACGAAAGUCUGACCGAGCAACGCCGCGUGAGUGAAGAAGGGUGUCGGAUCGUAAAGCUCUGUUGUAAGAGAAGAACGGGUGUGAGAGUGGAAAGUUCACACUGUGACGGUAUCUUACCAGAAAGGGACGGCUAACUACGUG
This 505-nucleotide ribosomal RNA is filed under the name uncultured bacterium. Its description in RNAcentral is "partial 16S ribosomal RNA". It matches the Rfam family "Bacterial small subunit ribosomal RNA", at positions 28 to 507 of the family's 1533-position model. The record is from RNAcentral.